UAGUCCACGCCGUAAACGAUGUCAACUAGCCGUUGGGGGGUUACCCUUUAGUGGCGAAGCUAACGCGAUAAGUAGACCGCCUGGGGAGUACGGCCGCAAGGUUAAAACUCAAAUGAAUUGACGGGGGCCCGCACAAGCGGUGGAGCAUGUGGUUUAAUUCGACGCAACGCGAAGAACCUUACCAACUCUUGACAUCCUGCGAACUUGCUAGAGAUAGCUUGGUGCCUUCGGGAACGCAGUGACAGGUGCUGCAUGGCUGUCGUCAGCUCGUGUUGUGAAAUGUUGGGUUAAGUCCCGUAACGAGCGCAACCCUUGUCCUUAUUUGCCAGCACGUAAUGGUGGGAACUCUAAGGAGACUGCCGGUGACAAACCGGAGGAAGGUGGGGACGACGUCAAGUCAUCAUGGCCCUUACGAGUUGGGCUACACACGUGCUACAAUGGCCGGUACAGAGGGCCGCAAACCAGCGAUGGUAAGCUAAUCUCAUAAAACCGGUCGUAGUCCGGAUUGGAGUCUGCAACUCGACUCC
RNAcentral lists this ribosomal RNA (527 nucleotides) under uncultured bacterium. Its description in RNAcentral is "bacterial SSU rRNA". It matches the Rfam family "Bacterial small subunit ribosomal RNA", at positions 791 to 1319 of the family's 1533-position model. The record is from RNAcentral.